UAUCAAAACCUCUUGAUAGUUGUAGUAAAUUGCUCACAUCAGUAGCGGAAACAGAGGUUUCAUGGGGUUGUAAGGCGAUUCCAUUCUCGACCGCAAUUUCGUUGAGCAGAUUCCUUCUGCUCUGCAAGUCCGGUUGUCUGGUUGAGAGUUUUUG
Molecule: long non-coding RNA, 154 nt
Organism: Hibiscus syriacus
Lineage: Eukaryota; Viridiplantae; Streptophyta; Magnoliopsida; Malvales; Malvaceae
Exons: 3
Source: RefSeq, a predicted model, not a curated record